AUACGGAGGAUGCGAGCGUUAUCCGGAUUUAUUGGGUUUAAAGGGAGCGUAGGUGGGAUAUUAAGUCAGCUGUGAAAGUUUGGGGCUCAACCUUAAAAUUGCAGUUGAUACUGGUUUCCUUGAGUACGGUACAGGUGGGCGGAAUUCGUGGUGUAGCGGUGAAAUGCUUAGAUAUCACGAAGAACUCCGAUCGCGAAGGCAGCUCACCGGGCCGGAACUGACACUGAUGCUCAAAAGUGCGGGUAUCAAACAGGAUUAGAUACCCUGGUAGUCCGCACAGUAAACGAUGAAUACUCGCUGUUUGCGAUACACAGUAAGCGGCCAAGCGAAAGCGUUAAGUAUUCCACCUGGGGAGUACGCCGGCAACGGUGAAACUCAAAUGAAUUGACGGGG
Molecule: ribosomal RNA, 393 nt
Filed under: uncultured bacterium
Lineage: Bacteria
Description: partial 16S ribosomal RNA
Rfam family: Bacterial small subunit ribosomal RNA
Source: RNAcentral